GACGAACGCUGGCGGCGUGCCUAAUACAUGCAAGUAGAACGCACAGUUUAUACCGUAGCUUGCUACACUAUAGACUGUGAGUUGCGAACGGGUGAGUAACGCGUAGGUAACCUGCCUGGUAGCGGGGGAUAACUAUGGAAAACGAUCGCUAAUACCGCAUAAUAUUAAUUAUUGCAUGAUAAUUAAUUGAAAGGUGGAGUUUCACCACUACCAGAUGUACCUGCGUUGUAUUAGCUAGUAGGUGAGGUAACGGCUCACCUAGGCGACGAUACAUAGCCGACCUGAGAGGGGGAUAGGCCACACCGGGACUGAGACACGGCCCAGACUCCUACGGGAGGCAGCAGGAGGGAAUCUUUGGCAAAGGAAGAAAGUGUGACCGAGCAACGCCGCGUGAGUGAAGAAGGUUGUCGGAUCGUAAAGCUCUGUUGUAAGAGAAGAACGGGUGUGAGAGUGGAAAGUUCACACUGUGACGGUACCUUACCAGAAAGGGACGGCUAACUACGUG
This 505-nucleotide ribosomal RNA is filed under the name uncultured bacterium. RNAcentral's name for it is "partial 16S ribosomal RNA". It matches the Rfam family "Bacterial small subunit ribosomal RNA", at positions 28 to 507 of the family's 1533-position model. The record is from RNAcentral.